This is a long non-coding RNA of Magnolia sinica, 1853 nucleotides long. RefSeq lists it as uncharacterized. The record is from RefSeq and is a predicted model, not a curated record. NCBI's taxonomy places the organism in Eukaryota, Viridiplantae, Streptophyta, Magnoliopsida, Magnoliales, Magnoliaceae. The transcript is spliced from 5 exons.
AAAAAUAAGCCUGUAAUCAGUUUAAAUGCUUUUGGACUACCUGUGGGCGAACACUCACAUAGGUUGACUACAAGAAGUGGAGAGUUGGUUCGCACCCAUGUCUCUAUUGCCAUCAAGGAUUGGCGUGUAGUGCUAAUGAGUAAGAAAGAAGAACUUUGGAAGCUCUUACAGGACGAGUUUGUUAUUCCUCAAUCUUACAAGGAGAAAUGCUUUAAAAGCAUGUCCGAUAUGUUUAGGAAGUACAAGUGUAAAUUGAGGAUGAAGUACCUCGAUCCUCAUUCAAAUCUUGAUUCCAAAUUAAACAACCGUCCACCAAGAGUUAGGCCUGAAGAUUGGGAAAUGUUCAUUAAACAUAAUUCGGAUCCCAGAAUUGUAGAACAAAGGAAAAAAAUGCCGAGAAUAGGAAAAUUUUAAAAAUUUACCAUACGAGUGGCAGGCAUGGCCACGCGAGAAUCGAGGAAGAAAUGCAACGCCAAAAGAAAGAUGGAGACAACCUGAUUAGUAGAACUGAAGUAUGGAUUUAAAACCCAUACAAGAAAGGAUGGUUCUGUUCACAGUAAUGCGGCUUCACAUGUGGAAAAAGUCAAAGAGUUACUUGCUAGCGAAGGAAGUAAUUCCCAUGACAUCCUCAAUGAUCCAUUGACUCAAGUGUUUGGUCCUGAUAUAAGGGGUCGUGUUCGAGCUGUUGGGACCACCGUUUCCCAAUCACAAAUCAGGGGGUCUGCUGCAGCUCUUGAAAAAAUCUCUUCAUAUAAAGGAAAAGUAGAAGAGCAAUCGUCCACAAUUCAAGAGCAAUCAUUCAAAAUUCAAGACCUAUCUUCUAAAAUAGAUUUUCUUAUGGACCAAAUUGGGGGUAUCAAAGAGAUGAUUCAGCAGCAACGCAUGGGUUCGGUUUAACCGGAGAAUCUACAAUUGACUGGUGGACCCUCAGUUGGGAAUCAUCAAUGUGCAGAGAGAAUACGGCCAUGCAAGUUGUACUCUUGGCGUGAAGAGCUCGUUGCUCAUGGGCGAGUUAUUUUGGCAGAUGGGCCCCAAAUGAUUUAUGGCAAACCUCUUCAAGAAGAUCUUUAUAAGGUUGCCAUUGAUAUCAUUAUCAAAGGAGACGUCGAAUUGCCCGAGCCAGACGGAUUUCAUUCGACUUUAGGCGAAGUUGGAAUUGGCUCAUUUGUUGCAUGGCAUCAUUGCUUUAUUGAGUUCACCGAUUAGCGACAAUAGUAAAAUACUUUUUUGGACACUUAACCUUUUUGGACUGUAAAUAUGUUUUGAUUGUAUAGCUUACUUGAUUAGUUGUUUCUAUAGACUGGACAUGAUAGAUAUAAUGCAAGUUUGCGACAAAUGUGUUGAUGGCUUCGAUCAUCACUGCAUGGUAAUGAAUUAUAUCACAAAUAAAACACUUUACUGAAAGUAGACUCUACCAGUUUGGCUAACACUGCAUUGUUGUUGCCUAUUUUCAAGCAUCUGUAUAGGAGAGAUUUGCUUCUUGCAUCAGAGUUCAAUAUCAUGAAUGAUUAUAUGUUGUCAGGUUUGUCAAUUCAAGAGUUCAAUAUCAUAUUGUUUAUCUAUUGAUCGUUUGGCCUGAAACAUCAGAUUGCUUGAUGAGUUUUGAUUUUUAAACUUUUUUUGAAAAAUUUUCAACUGACAAUCAUGUGAGUUGUAAAAUCUUAUGAUCAGUUUCAGUGUCCUGCCUUCAUCAGAAUUACCACCAUUGUCAGUAACAUCAUCAUCAUUAUCAUCAAACACAAGCUGCAGCUGCUGUUUCUCCUGCAGUUCCAACCAGCUUCUUUCUAGCUCCUCCUCAGAUGGAAACAUAAGGUGGGGCCCUUUACUCCCAGUUGUCUGUAAUGCCACUAAAA